Long non-coding RNA from Crotalus tigris (Tiger rattlesnake), 8514 nucleotides. RefSeq lists it as uncharacterized. Lineage: Eukaryota; Metazoa; Chordata; Lepidosauria; Squamata; Viperidae. The record is from RefSeq and is a predicted model, not a curated record. The transcript is spliced from 4 exons.
UGUCGGCCUCCCUUUUACAUAAGGGCAAAUGGGGCGGCGCUGCGUCCGCCAUUCUUGUUUCGGGCAGAUUUCUUUCCCUCUGAAAAAUUGAGCGGCCAGGUUGGGUUAGGUAAUGAAGCCACAGAGUCUGUUAAAGUUAUAGUUUGGUCUAAGCAACCAUUUUUGAGUAUGGCAGGCGUGAGCUUUUCAUUGGCUAAUUGUUUCUGAAAGUCAGUUUAUUUGGUGGAGUGGUUUUUUAAGCAGCCUAAGAAGUUUCUAGGUAUAUAAAAUGUUGUGAUCUGUCUUGAAAUUAUUCUUGAUAAAACUGGCAAACGUUUUAAAUCCCAGUCAUAGAUCUUAGGCAACAACUUAGAUGAAUCCUUGAUAAAAAAUAUUUAACUGGAAUAUGACAUUUUCCUUUGUGAUUUUGGAGACCCAGUAAAGAGAGCCGCAGCUCUCCUUGUGAAUGUAAUAUCCAGUUUGUUGUUGUUUUAACCAUUCAGUCUUGUGCUACUCUUGCCGACUUUAUAGGCACAGCAUCAGCUUAUUUCCUUAAAGUCUGUCUGAAAAGUCAUACAUCCAUUAUUUCUAGUUGGUUCUCUUUUAUCAAAUUUCCCCGAUCUGGUAUUCUUCAGAUAAGGUAUACCUUGAUACCCAUCGCUUCUCAGCGAUGGGAACUGCUUCCCAAUAGGGAAGACGAUCUUUCAAUUAUUGAAUCAACCUUAAACAAAAAGGAUAUUGCUUUGUCUAUUUUUGAAGGCCUUGCAUUUGUCACACCAGGAUAAGGCUGCCGAUCAUGGCAUUUCCAUACUAUGGACUAGUCUGUUUGAGUGACAUCACAUAUAUUUAUUUCCUCACCAAAAAACGUGUCUGUUAAGAUGCCAAAAUGAAGAAUCACCACUGCUAAUUUAACCAUUCUAUAAGUAUUACUCUCCUCUUUUCAAGCCAUCCUCUCUUGUUAUUAAUACCCACAGUCAUCAUGCAUUCAGAGUUAACAAUUACAUCUGUGAAGAAGUCAUUAAUUUGGCAUUUGUAAUGUAGUGUUGCUGAAUAAAUGGCUUGGAUGUUACAUCUGCCGAUGUUCAUCACUUACAUUUCAGCACACCUUUUGCAGUCUGUUUAGUUAUCCGGUUACAGAAGUUCUAGACUUUAUUAUCAUUACAUAUAAUUGAGGUCUGGCACCUCUUGUUUGCUCCAGUUUGUACGGGAUGUAUUAGGCCUUUUUUUAGGACAAACUGUGUAUAAAUAUCCAAGAUAUGCUGGUGAAUUUAGUUGCAUAGAUGACUAUACCCUUAGUUUCUUUCUUUAUAGGAAUUUAACUAUCAACAAGCAAACUGAAAUAUUUGAUAAUAUGAACAAAAUUAAGAAAGCUUUUGGAAACAGAAGAGCUUUCAGAUAAAUACCCUAGUGCUUCUAAUCAAGAGACACUAUACAUUUUUUUCACCUUUUUCUUACCACCUUUUUGUGGUAAUAAAAUGGAUUUGAUUGGUUUUUGUGGGGAAAAUAUAGGAAGAUUACAAUAGAAAAUGACUAUGACAGGAUCACCCACAUAAUUUUAUAUUGUGAUUAUACAAAAACAUUUUCACUGAGAAAAAUACCUAGUAUAUUAUUUUCUUCUAGGUAUAUUUGUAUACACACAUAUACAUGUUGCAUAUAUGAUAAAGUACACUCUGUAUGGAGAAGAUCUUCAGUGUAAUCCCUAUUAUAUCAAUGAAUAAGAAAUAGUGGGAAAGAGUUUCUGUACAGUCUUUUUCUCAAAUAGUCUUUGACGCAGCACGAGCAAGUACAGUAUGAGGCAGCUUCCUACACAGUUAUUUAAGAUUCAAUAUCAAAGGACACAUUUCUUAGCCUUUUCCACACAGUUCAGUUGAAGUGCCAUUUUUCCAAUCUUGACCAGUAGAAAAAAAACUACUGGAAUAAAAUCUGCUGCCCAAUUGCUGAUUCUUAUCCUGCCUCAAUUACUUCUGUUCAUUUAAUUUCAUUCAGCUAAUUCCCCUCCAAAUUAACAGAUUCACAAACCUUGAAGGUUUCCUUGAAUGGUAUUGGAAGAAAAUUCUACAUUAACUUCAGUAUAGCCAAGAGUAAAUGGUUUAACUCUAUCUCAUGUGGUCUGGGGAUAAGGGAAAAAAGCAUCUUAUGCUGAAGGGGAAAAAAAGGUUGCCAGGGCAUCUUUGUUCUGUGGUUCAGUGAAAAGAGAAAAGGCCUUACAUAGGAACAAAUGAAAAAAGUUACAAACUUAAAGGUGGGAAGCAUUUAUUAGAACUCCUGGAUUACCCCAGACUUGAAUGAUGUUAUUGACUUAGACUCCACCCAAAAGUCCUUUUCCAAAUGCUGCUCUUCAGAAUCAAAUCACUGUGAACUUUCCUGUGCAUGAAAAUCUCAGAAUUCUCUAUUCUUUUGCAGAUCAUUCUGACUUUGAGGGACUGGAGUUUGCAGAGGAGCCUUUUAGCUAUGCCACAAGAAGCUAAAUCAAGAGCCAUGUAUCCUAUAUCAAGCCUGUACAGGAAGGAGGCUCCUAUAAUUCUGCCAUAUGUUUUCAGUGAAUUGUGAAGAUUUAAAUAUCACAUGUAUAUAAAAGAUCAUACUGAACAUUUGGUUUAAAGACAGUUCUGAAAAAGUCCUCCUUUCUUGAAAAUUAAAAUACGGCAUUGUCCUGGCACCAAAUGUCCAGGCUGUACUGGAAGACAAAGCUGUACUGAUAAACAAAAUGAGCAUUUGCUCAGCCUCAGCAGUUUAUGGCAUUGGUACUUUUUAAAAAACCAAUAAUGAGGUAUUAAGAAAAUGGUAAUAUAUUCAGAUGCAUUAAAAUAGUAGUUUUGUACAUAAAGUAGUCAGACUAAUGAACAGAAAUUGGCCAGAAACAAGCUUUUAUUCUGUUGUAGUAGAUAACUAAGUUUCAAACAAUAUAUUAUGUAGAUUUUUUUAAAAAGACAUAAUAAAAAAAUUGAACACUCCCCUAAUCCAAUAGGUUUGGGGCAACAAACUUACUUUCUUCCCAAGGAACAGUUUUGGCUUACAAAUCUGUGCAUGCUUACUUGAAAGUUACUAUUAUUUACUUCCAGAAAACAUAUAAUUAUGUGGACUGCACAUAAUUGCCAUCAAUUAUAGUUAUCUGUAGUUGUUGUCUUGCCUAAGUAACCCCCUGUACUUCACAUAAUAGUACAUGAAAGAUAUUAUAUGAAAAGUUCACAGUGACCACUUCUUUUAUAUAUUUGAAAUUCACCUUCCACUAAACAAUCUUACCCUAAUGAUCCUUAAAAAAGUCACCACUUUUUCUUCAUGUUAUCAUUUAUGCAUAACUUACUACUCUUUCAUUUUCUUGGAUGUCUUAACUUGUAAGUACAAUAUGCUCACUCCAAAAGACUUCAAAGCAAAUAAUACUUAGGACUGGUUUUUAAGUAUUUCCCUAGAUAACAGCUGGAAAAUGAGAUUAUGGUUAGAAUUUCCAGUCUUCGUGUAUGUUGGCCUCUUUAAGGCCAUCUAUUUUCAAAGUCACUGUCAUUAGUCUUUCACAGUGAAAUCAAAACAAGUGUUUUGUGGCAUGAGAUAUCAGUAUAUUUGAUGAGAGAACUGGGUUCUAGGAAAGCAAAGCAGUAAUAAAUUUGUUAGUCUUUAAGGUAACCUAAACCCUUUACUAUUACAAUUUUAUUCCUAACAUUUUCAGGUUUUUUUCUCUGCCAAUCAUAUCAGAAUAUUCUAUAUCCACUUAUUGGAUUCAGGGUGCUGAAUUUCCCAUUAAAGAUCUGAAUUAAAGCUUUCUGUAUAAAGAAAAAAAAUAAACAAGUCAUUAUUUUGAUUUCUAUCACUAUUGGAUGAUUGUUUCAUUGAUUAUGUGCCAUCAUGACAAUGCUGACUCUUAACCAUACAGAUAGAUUCUAUCCAGGAUGAUCUGUCCCCAACCUGAUUCUUCAAUUUUUCCAACACUCUGAUAAUUUGAGUCUAUCCAACUUGCUGCUGGUUAUUGUCUUCUUCUCUUUCCUUCCACCUUUCCCAGCAUUAGACACCAUUCCAGAGAGCUAAAUCUUCAUAUAAUGUGUCCAAAAUAUGAAAAUUCGAGCAGCAACAUUUGUGCCUCAAGUGACAACUCUGAACUGAUGUGUGUGAUGGUCAGUUAGUUUGUUUUCAUGGUUAUCUGUGGUAUUCUUAGGAAUCUUCUCCAGCACUCAAGUUUAAAAGUGUCAAUAUUCUUUCUAACCUGCUUCUUCAAGUCCAACUUUUGCUUCCAUAGAGUAUCAAAGGGAAAAACACUGCCUAUUCAGUUCUGAUCUUUGUAGAUGUGUGCACAUCCCAGAAUUUAAAUGUUUUCCAAGGCCUUCAUUGCUUCCCUAGCAAGUGCUAGUCUGAGGCAUAUUUCUUAACUGCUGGUUCCUUUGCUGUUCAUUGUUGAGUCUAAAAAGCAAACUGACAUCUUCACUGUCAGUCCUGAGGCUGGUUGUCUAUAGUGGUCUUUAUAUUUAAUCUUAAUCCCAUUUUUUAACUUUGCUCCUUGACUUUUUUUUAACAGAUCUUGCAAAUUAUUUGCAUUUUCAGCUAUCAAAAUAGUAUCAUUCAGGUAUUGGUCCUUCCUCCAGUCUUAAAGUCAUCUUCUAGCUUCUCUUAGUAUACGGUAAACUCAGCAAAUAGUUUGAAUAAAUAAGGAAAGAGUGCACAAUCUUGUUUCACUCGUAUGCCAACCUUGAGCCGUUCUUGUUUCCCCAUGGUCUCUCUGGAUUAUGGCUUCCUGACCUGUAUAUAGGUUUUGCCAGUAAGAUAUUAUGGGAUUGCUAUCACUAUGGUGUUACCUAAAAUAUCUGAAUUAAUUGGAGAAGUACAGUAGAUGUUUUGGGCAGAAUUAGCUAAAUUGAGGUACAGGCUUGGGGACUGGUACUACAGCUUUUCUCUGGAAACCUGAUGUAAAGACUACAAUAUGUGCCUUGUGUUGGAGGAAUAGACUUUUAUUUACAUUUAUGUUUGUACAUAUAUAAAGUAAAUAGUAUUACUGUGCCAUUUUAUCAUCCAAACUGUAUUUUGCAAAGGAAAAUAAACUUUGUAGUAUUGCUUUUAGAACUGUUCACAGUUAAAAUAUAUGGGCAUGCACAACAUUAUGCAAAACUCCAUAUAUUUAAACUGGAAUAUAUUAGGAACAUUAGGUACAUCUAUAUAAAAGUGGGUGUGCUUAUUGCAGAGUUGGAUUUUUUUUUGCCAAAGUCCACAGUGAUAAAAGCAAAUACAAGUUUAUAAUAUGACAAUUUUUAAAAUAACCAUUUAAAAUAAAUGCUCAAUUGAUGAGAGUUUCAUCAUAUUUCCCAAAGAACUAAUAAGGAGGUAUGGUCUCUAUUCCUGGAGAUAAAUACCCAUAAUGAAUAAUAGCUACUGUUCCUAUAGUCAUUCCGUGGUAACCAGCUUUGCUAGUACAUCAUCAUGAGAGGUAUCUCCCUUGUGUCCUGAACACACAUUUCUCCACUCUCUGGGAGAUUAAUUGCAUUCCAUUAUUUCAACACCUUUGCAUUUCUGCCUGAUUUUAUUUUCCAUCUGAACAACAUUCUCAGUGAUAUAAAUAUGAAGACAACUUGUGAAACCAGGGUGAAUGUUCAGUUCCUGUAUGCAAAGCAAAUUUUUGGAUUCAUAAAUCUUUAACACUAUUGGGAACCUGGUAUUGUCAUUUAUGCGUAGUGAUUUGGUUCAGGAAUCUUUGCUUUCAAGAGUUUUAGCUUUUUGUGAUACAUAGUUGUCCCUGCCUCCCUCUAUCCUUCUGCACGAAAAGUUUGUGUCUCUGAGCUCACAUUACAACUACUGAAAAGACAACAGAAGGUCUCAAAGAAUGAGAAAAUUGUUUGGUUGCUCCAUUAUACAUUUGUUUCAUUCAUGCUCUAUCUUCCUCCCAGAAACCUAGUGCACUGUUUUAUUAAAAGACACAUAGAGAUGCAUAUAUACCACUUCAUGAGACAGGAUGUGUCACAAAAGUAUAAACUGCCCAAAGCUAUUCAACAAGCUUAGCUGCAUUUGAACCUAAAUUUCACCAAAUUCCAUCAGCAUCACACAUCUGCUAACAUUCCCUCUCGGGUUAAAUAAUUUGUUUGACAACUUGACUAGCCUGACCAGUUUUAUAUGAUACGAUAUUCUCAGAUACAUCUUUCUUUAUAAGCUGGUGCUAUAAAGAAAUGACUACUUGAUUAUUUAACUAAAAAGUACAAACUAGAUGUAAUAAACCUUAAGUCUACCCAUAGCUUUAUGAGUUUAUCUACGUUUGUUCCUGUGUAGUUUUUCCUCUGUUUUGAAGGGCUCUUCAUGCACUUUCUUUUUUUAGAAUUAGAAUUUUUUAAUGUAUAAUACUAUGAGGCAAGUUUUGUAAUUGUACCCCACAGAAGUUUAAUGUAGGAAUUACUGAAAAUUAAUGGGUAUCACUGCAAGGCACAUAUCAUCCUAUCAAGAAGUUACUGUGAGUAAAAUUCUAUGCAAAGAGAUUGUAAAGAUAACUCAGUGAAUUCUAGCAUGUUAUUGUGCAAAGUUUCCAUCAAAAUUGAAUAAUGGGCACAAUUACCAAAAUCCAUCUGGGAUAUAUGUUGGCUUCCUAAGCUUUUCCAACAGCUCCACUUGAAUGAACUUAUUUAUCAUCCUGUAGUCACUGACCAUUUUCCAAAGUGAAUGGAGAUAGUUUCCCAGAAGGUGACUUUCCUUGUGUCUGUCACAACUAGUGGCAUAUAAUGUGUUCACAGCAUCAUCCAGCCUGGAUUGAAGUGUUGUAAAACCUCAUAACUAUUAUUUUAGCACCAGUGGUGGGAUGAUUCUAGAACACAGGGUUAAAUUAUAGUGGGAAAAUGAUUUACAACAAUCAGAUUAUUAUUUGGCCCAGGAAACCAUGAAGCCUCAGCUUUGUCAGUCAGUACGGCAGCAUUUUAAAAAAAAAACCCAUUGUUGCUGACAAUGUAGUGGGAGGACAGAGAAAGAAAUAUCAUGUUUGAGAUGCCUAAUUUGAGAGAGCAAUAAAUGAUAGUAAAAUAGAAAAAAAAGAUACUGUCUUGUUAACAUUGUUUGUUUGUUUUUGCUGGUCUGAUUUAUCUAGGUUUUUUUUUUUUUAAAGUGGUUUUGGAUAGUUAUAUUUUGCUUUGUGGUUUGAUGUACUUGAAUACUAUUUGGGAGGCAGCUGCUUUUUGAAUUCCGUUUAUUUCAAUGGGCCAGGCUGGCCAGGAAUGCUGGAAGUUAAAAUCUAACACUUCUAUUAUUAGUAUUAGGUUGCAGAAAGCUGAUGUGAAAAAAAUUAAGGGUUACAAUUUAACAAAUAAAUACCUAAAACUGAGAUAGCACUGCGUCACAUGCUUUCUUUUGUAAUCUUUUUGCUCUGUAGCAUAUACUUAAGAGUCUAAAUAGGCAAAAAUUGGGAAGAGACAGCAUUGGAACACAAGUCAGGCAACACAGCGUUAACUAGGAUCAUAGGGCCAGCCAUGCUCAUUCUUGAUAUCUCCAACAUAUGGCAAGGAUUUCCAUACAGAAUGGAGAAAACAAAACUGACAGGAAGAAAUGUUCAAUAUAUACUAUCUGUCCUUCUCAGCAGAUUCUGUGCCAGAGUUAUAUCCAGGCAACCAAGAAGAAGCCGAUACAGAACAGACCAAAUUUAGAGAAUGUCUUUGCUUCAAAUACUGCACAAGAGUUAUUUUUUAGGACAGAAACAAAUAAUUUUAAAAUGCAAUCAGAGAGGGUGACUUAUGGGAACUGUCUCUGCCUUGACAUCGUCAGCAACAUACUGAGUCUUAUAAUAAACAGAUUCAUCGAUGCAGAGGUAUCAGCUGAUAAUACAACACAUAUACCACAAAGAGAUACAAAGGCAACAGCGCCUUGUUCUCCAAAAUACUGAAGUUAUCUCAAAGAAGACAUACAGUGAUUCUUGGCAUUUAUCUUCGCAACAAAAUUGAAAACACCCUAAAGAUACAAAGAAUAACCAGGCUCCUGGAUCAUCCAAUAUGAUCUACAUUUGAGGGAGAUCUCUGUAAUCUUAGUGUCUUCAAGCCCCCUUUUCAACUGAAUUUCAUCUUCUAGCCACUUUAUAUAAUAUCUCCUCCCAAGUCCCAAAAUGUUUCCUGUUUUCCCCAAGUUAUUGGAUGCAGGUCAGAUUUCCCUAUUGUUAAGACUACAAUCCUUUGCAUGAUUAUUAGUCAGUUCAAACCGAUUUUAAUACAGUAGCAUUUGUCUCCAGGUUAAUACACAUCAGGCCAAGUUAGUUCAGACUGUAGUCUGUUUUCUUUUGUAUAAUGUUUUCCAGGGCUGCAGAUCUCACUUUUGCCUUAAAAACGCCUCAGCUGCAAUUACUGCACUUUAAUUGCCUAAGCAUAAAUAUAAACCAGAAAUAGAGAAUCAAAGAAAAAGAAGCACAAAAGCAUACAUUUGUCAGGGAAAACUAGUUUUGCAUAUAUUUUCAUCUCUUCUAAUACAAUUGCAUUAAUAAUGUUUAAGUCAGUUUUAUUAACAAUAGGAGACACUAGAAUGUGCUGUAUAAAUUUAUAAAUGUAUACAAAUUUAUACAAAGAAGAGGGAGUCAAAUUAUUCUCCAAAGCACCAGAG